RNAcentral lists this unclassified non-coding RNA (328 nucleotides) under uncultured fungus. RNAcentral's name for it is "partial contains small subunit ribosomal RNA, internal transcribed spacer 1, and 5.8S ribosomal RNA". The stretch from base 1 to 73 matches the Rfam family "Eukaryotic small subunit ribosomal RNA", at positions 1759 to 1831 of the family's 1831-position model. Lineage: Eukaryota; Fungi. The record is from RNAcentral.
ACAAACUUGGUCAUUUAGAGGAAGUAAAAGUCGUAACAAGGUUUCCGUAGGUGAACCUGCGGAAGGAUCAUUAUUGAAACAAACAACGGUAGUUGGUUGUCGCUGGCCUCUCUCUGAGGCAUGUGCACGCCUUCGACCGACAAUCAAUCUCACCUCUGUGCACCUUUGCGUGGGUCCAUGAAGGUUUUGUUGACCGACUGGGCCUGCGUUUUUCCACACACCUCUGAAUGCAUGUAUGUGAAUGUCUUCCGUGCAGUGUCUCUGUACGAAUAAAAGUAUAACUUUCAACAACGGAUCUCUUGGCUCUCGCAUCGAUGAAGAACGCAGC